CAGUCGCCGCGGGAAUACGUAGGGUGCGAGCGUUAAUCGGAAUUACUGGGCGUAAAGCGUGCGCAGGCGGUUUGUUAAGACAGAUGUGAAAUCCCCGGGCUUAACCUGGGAACUGCAUUUGUGACUGGCCGGCUAGAGUAUGGCAGAGGGAGGUGGAAUUCCACGUGUAGCAGUGAAAUGCGUAGAUAUGUGGAGGAACACCGAUGGCGAAGGCAGCCUCCUGGGCCAAUACUGACGCUCAUGCACGAAAGCGUGGGGAGCAAACAGGAUUAGAUACCCGAGUAGUCCCUGUCUCUUAUAA
Molecule: ribosomal RNA, 301 nt
Filed under: uncultured bacterium
Lineage: Bacteria
Description: partial 16S ribosomal RNA
Rfam family: Bacterial small subunit ribosomal RNA
Source: RNAcentral